AAUAUUGGACAAUGGGCGCAAGCCUGAUCCAGCCAUGCCGCGUGCGUGAUGAAGGCCUUAGGGUUGUAAAGCUCUUUCACCGGUGAAGAGACUGACGGUAGCCGGAGAAGAAGCUCCGGCUAACUUCGUGCCAGCAGCCGCUGUAAUACGAAGGGGGCUAGCGUUGUUCGGGAUUACUGGCCGUAAAGCGCAAGUAGGCGGAUUGGUCAGUUAGGGGUGAAAUCCCAGGGCUCAACCCUGGAACUGCCUUUAAUACUGCCAGUCUUGAGUUCGAGAGAGGUGAGUGGAAUUCCGAGUGUAGAGGUGAAAUUCGUAGAUAUUCGGAGGAACACCAGUGGCGAAGGCGGCUCACUGGCUCGAUACUGACGCUGAGGUGCGAAAGCGUGGGGAGCAAACAGG
This 399-nucleotide ribosomal RNA is filed under the name uncultured bacterium. RNAcentral's name for it is "partial 16S ribosomal RNA". It matches the Rfam family "Bacterial small subunit ribosomal RNA", at positions 360 to 776 of the family's 1533-position model. The record is from RNAcentral.